This 117-nucleotide ribosomal RNA is filed under the name Methylobacterium sp. GXS13. Its description in RNAcentral is "partial 16S ribosomal RNA". It matches the Rfam family "Bacterial small subunit ribosomal RNA", at positions 1 to 124 of the family's 1533-position model. The record is from RNAcentral. Lineage: Bacteria; Pseudomonadati; Pseudomonadota; Alphaproteobacteria; Hyphomicrobiales; Methylobacteriaceae.
UUCAACGUGAGAGUUUGAUCCUGGCUCAGAGCGAACGCUGGCGGCAGGCUUAACACAUGCAAGUCGAGCGGGCACCUUCGGGUGUCAGCGGCGGACGGGUGAGUAACGCGUGGGAAC